RNAcentral lists this ribosomal RNA (468 nucleotides) under uncultured bacterium. RNAcentral describes it as "partial 16S ribosomal RNA". It matches the Rfam family "Bacterial small subunit ribosomal RNA", at positions 28 to 507 of the family's 1533-position model. The record is from RNAcentral.
GACGAACGCUGGCGGCGUGCCUAACACAUGCAAGUCGAACGGAAACGUCCUGCCUUUGGGGGGUGGUCGGGGUGCCGACGGGGGAGUUACCCGUGGGUUAGCUGUCCCUGAUGUUGGGAUAACCUCAUGCAAGUUGGUCUAAUAACUGCUAGGAUCUCUCGCCGCAUGGUGGGGGUGGGUAAGAUUCGGCGGUUGGGGAUGGACUCGCUGCUUAUGAGGUUGUUGGUGGGGUAGUGGCAUACCAAGGUCUUGCGGGGUAGCCGGCCUGAGAGGGUGACCGGCCACAUUGGGACUGAGAUACGGCCCAGACUCCAACGGGAGGCAGCAGUGGGGAAUAUUGCACAAUGGGCGGAAGCCUGAUGCAGCAACGCCGCGUGCGGGAUGACGGCCUUCGGGUUGUAAACCGCUUUCGCCUGUGACGAAGCGUGAGUGACGGUAAUGGGUAAAGAAGCACCGGCUAACUACGUG